This 488-nucleotide ribosomal RNA is filed under the name uncultured bacterium. RNAcentral's name for it is "partial 16S ribosomal RNA". It matches the Rfam family "Bacterial small subunit ribosomal RNA", at positions 29 to 507 of the family's 1533-position model. The record is from RNAcentral.
AUGAACGCUAGCUACAGGCUUAACACAUGCAAGUCGCGGGGCAGCAUGAUUGAAGCUUGCUUCACUCGAUGGCGACCGGCGCACGGGUGAGUAACACGUAUCCAACCUGCCGAUAACUCGGGGAUAGCCUUUCGAAAGAAAGAUUAAUACCCGAUAGUAUAGUAUUUCCGCAUGGUUUCACUAUUAAAGAACUUCGGUUAUCGAUGGGGAUGCGUUCCAUUAGAUAGUUGGCGGGGUAACGGCCCACCAAGUCAACGAUGGAUAGGGGUUCUGAGAGGAAGGUCCCCCACAUUGGAACUGAGACACGGUCCAAACUCCUACGGGAGGCAGCAGUGAGGAAUAUUGGUCAAUGGACGAGAGUCUGAACCAGCCAAGUAGCGUGAAGGAUGACUGCCCUAUGGGUUGUAAACUUCUUUUAUACGGGAAUAAAGUGGAGUAUGCAUACUCCUUUGUAUGUACCGUAUGAAUAAGGAUCGGCUAACUCCGUG